AUGCCAAAUGCUCAUACAAGUUUCAUUCAGGAUUCAUUGGUUGAAAAAAACUUAAAAUGUCAAAAACCAUUACAAAUCUGUGUUCUUGCAAAAGAAAUUCCAAGUGAAAAUUAUAAAGAAACUAUAAGACUUUUCAAUAAUGUUAUGCUCCCUGUAAUCUUGUUUUCCCUUCAAGCUUUCCAACACUCAAAUCAUGUCCAAGCUUUCGAUUAG
Molecule: non-coding RNA, 213 nt
Organism: Vicia faba (fava bean)
Lineage: Eukaryota; Viridiplantae; Streptophyta; Magnoliopsida; Fabales; Fabaceae
Source: the annotation of a GenBank genome assembly